CCAGUGCACGGGCAGCCCACUCAGCCCAUUGGACAUAAAUGGUGGUGGUGUUUGUGAAGCAUCUGGCUGGCAGUGUGGAAGGAAUGGAAUCUUAAACCAGUCAGUGGGGAAUCGCCUGAUGAGCAGCAGUUUGGUGGCAGCAGUGGGAUUCAAAGGACUCAUCUGAUGGCUUCGGAGAUGAGAAACACAGGCAUUGGUACCCGCAAAACCUUUGAGUUCUCCAUCUUUUUCGCUGUUUCCGAGGGCCGUGGUUCUACUGAGACAUACUUGAUAUACAGCACUGUGCAAGUUAACACUGCUGUGUGGUAUAUUUGAAAGUUGCUAAGAGAGUAGAUCCUAAAACUUGUCAUCACCAGGAAAAAAGCUUUUAUUUCUGUUUCGUGAUGGAUGUUAACUAACCUUAUUUUGGUCACCUUGCCUGGUUCGGAGCUGAGCUGCCGUGACCCUCUUUCCCUUGCCCGGUGUGAGCUUCUGGAGGCCACUGAGGCAGCGCCAGAGGGUAAGGCGGCCUGCAGGCUGGGUAUUCCCGGAAGGAAAGUGGGAUCUUUCCUGUGUUUAGAAGGACACGUGGAAAGUCAGCUAUGUGGGUGAACCUUUCCCUUUAUC
Long non-coding RNA from Diceros bicornis minor, 606 nucleotides. RefSeq lists it as uncharacterized. The transcript is spliced from 5 exons. The record is from RefSeq and is a predicted model, not a curated record. NCBI's taxonomy places the organism in Eukaryota, Metazoa, Chordata, Mammalia, Perissodactyla, Rhinocerotidae.